CAUUUGGCUGAAAUCUUGUUCACUAUUGGUUUCUCUCCCUCUCUUGCUCUUCCACAGGCAGCAAGUGCUCUCCUUCUGUUUUUCAUGCAUGUGGGAGUCUCCAGCAUUUACAUUAGCAAGAGUAACAGCCGUGGUGGCAGCAUCUGGAUCCUUGAUUGACAGCAUUAUGGAAAGUUACUGGCCAGAUACUCCUUACUUAAGUUGGCACCAAUCAACUUGCCUGGGGAUCAGUCAAAUGGGGUGAGGUGAGGGGGACUUCAGGAGAUCCUUCCCAGAUGGAUGCCAAAUUCCUUUGAUAGCCCUGUCAUUGUCAAGAAUUUCUUCAAGUUUAUGUGUAUAAGAAUAAAAUCUUGUUCAAGUUUA
Homo sapiens (human) is the source of this 363-nucleotide long non-coding RNA. RefSeq lists it as uncharacterized. Lineage: Eukaryota; Metazoa; Chordata; Mammalia; Primates; Hominidae. The record is from RefSeq and is a predicted model, not a curated record. The transcript has 2 exons.